This 162-nucleotide non-coding RNA is filed under the name Pseudoxanthomonas suwonensis 11-1. RNAcentral's name for it is "Proteobacterial sRNA sX4". It matches the Rfam family "Proteobacterial sRNA sX4", at positions 1 to 125 of the family's 167-position model. The record is from Rfam by way of RNAcentral. Lineage: Bacteria; Pseudomonadati; Pseudomonadota; Gammaproteobacteria; Lysobacterales; Lysobacteraceae.
GCCGGGCCACCGGAGAGGUGGCAGAGUGGUUGAAUGUACCUGACUCGAAAUCAGGCAGGCGUUUAUAGCGCCUCGGGGGUUCGAAUCCCCCCCUCUCCGCCAGACGCAAAUAAAAAGGCCCCCUCGCGGGGCCUUUUUAUUUGCAUCCGGUGAGGGGUGGCC